This 949-nucleotide ribosomal RNA is filed under the name Tulasnella sp. RNAcentral's name for it is "SSU rRNA". It matches the Rfam family "Eukaryotic small subunit ribosomal RNA", at positions 625 to 1606 of the family's 1831-position model. Lineage: Eukaryota; Fungi; Basidiomycota; Agaricomycetes; Cantharellales; Tulasnellaceae. The record is from RNAcentral.
CGUGCGUAGUUGAUGCUCAGGGGCCGCACCUAUGGUAAGCACCCUCCGGGGUGGACUGCCGGUCGGCGCCCUAAUGGCCGUGGGCUCCGGCUCCGGUCACCAAUACCUCGAACAAAUGAGAGCGCAUGAGGCAGGCACAUGUUGCCGGAAUCUAUUAGCAUGGAAUAACACAUGGACCGCAGCGUCUUGUUGUUGGUUAAAGACGAUGCAGUAAUGAUUAACAGGGGUACUCGGGGCCAACCGUACUCUGGGGCUAGGGGUGAAAUCCUGUGACCCUCAGAAGACGACCUAAUGCGAAAGCAGUUGGCUAGGGUACUUUCAUUGAUCAAGCACGAAGGGUGGGGGAGCAAAGACGAUUAGACACCGUUGUAGUCCCACCAGUAAACGAUGUCGACGCGAUCACGGGUGUCUGUGUUAGCAGCGCUCGGGAGCGUAUAGAAAUUAGAGUCUUUGGACUCUGGGGGGAGUAUGGUCGCAAGUCUGAAACUUAAAGGAAUUGACGGAAGGGCACAACCAGGCGUGGAGCCUGCGGCUUAAUUUGACUCAACACGGGGAAGCUCACCAGGGCAGGACAUGAUUAGGAUUGACAGACAUGACAGAUCUUUCAUGAUCUCAUGGGUGGUGGUGCAUGGCCGUUCUUAGUUCGUGGGGUGACUUGUCUGGUUGAUUCCGAUAACGAGCGAGACCGAGACCCAAGGUUGGCGCCGUUUCCCUCAUGUUCUUUUGGGCUUCGAGGGCGGCGCUCUUCUUGCGCCUUGGGGACCGGCGCCCGGUUAAGGGCGUGGAGGUGCUUGGCAAUAACAGGUCUGUGAUGCCCUUAGAUGUCCUGGGCCGCACGCGCGCUACACUGAUGCAGACAAUGGGCAUUUGCCUAUCCCGAGAGGGCUGGGUAAUCCUGUGAGGCUGCAUCGUGCUGGGGAUCGAGCACUGGAACUGUGCUCGUGAACAU